AUGAACGCUGGCGGCGUGCCUAACACAUGCAAGUCGAACGGACAUUUUUUGGAAAGCUCUUCGGAACUGGAAUCUAAAUGUUAGUGGCGGACGGGUGAGUAACGCGUGAGCAAUCUGCCUUUCAGAGGGGGAUAACAGCCGGAAACGGCUGCUAAUACCGCAUAAUGCAUUCGGAUUCGCAUGUUUCUGAUGCCAAAGAUUUUAUCGCUGAAAGAUGAGCUCGCGUCUGAUUAGCUAGUUGGCGGGGUAACGGCCCACCAAGGCGACGAUCAGUAGCCGGACUGAGAGGUUGAACGGCCACAUUGGGACUGAGACACGGCCCAG
RNAcentral lists this ribosomal RNA (324 nucleotides) under uncultured bacterium. Its description in RNAcentral is "bacterial SSU rRNA". It matches the Rfam family "Bacterial small subunit ribosomal RNA", at positions 29 to 334 of the family's 1533-position model. The record is from RNAcentral.